UACGGGGGGGGCAAGCGUUGUUCGGAAUUACUGGGCGUAAAGGGCUCGUAGGCGGCCAACUAAGUCAGACGUGAAAUCCCUCGGCUUAACCGGGGAACUGCGUCUGAUACUGGAUGGCUGGAGUUUGGGAGAGGGAUGCGGAAUUCCAGGUGUAGCGGUGAAAUGCGUAGAUAUCUGGAGGAACACCGGUGGCGAAGGCGGCGUUCUGGACUGCAACUGACACUGAGAAACGAAAGCCAGGGUAGCAAACGGG
This 253-nucleotide ribosomal RNA is filed under the name uncultured bacterium. RNAcentral's name for it is "partial 16S ribosomal RNA". It matches the Rfam family "Bacterial small subunit ribosomal RNA", at positions 524 to 776 of the family's 1533-position model. The record is from RNAcentral.